UGUGUCUGCCGCCGCGGUAAUACGUAGGUGGCAAGCGUUAUCCGGAAUUAUUGGGCGUAAAGCGCGCGUAGGCGGUUUUUUAAGUCUGAUGUGAAAGCCCACGGCUCAACCGUGGAGGGUCAUUGGAAACUGGAAAACUUGAGUGCAGAAGAGGAAAGUGGAAUUCCAUGUGUAGCGGUGAAAUGCGCAGAGAUAUGGAGGAACACCAGUGGCGAAGGCGGCUUUCUGGUCUGCAACUGACGCUGAUGGCUUUAUUCUUACUAAUGCCUCC
Molecule: ribosomal RNA, 271 nt
Filed under: Staphylococcus pseudintermedius
Lineage: Bacteria; Bacillati; Bacillota; Bacilli; Caryophanales; Staphylococcaceae
Description: partial 16S ribosomal RNA
Rfam family: Bacterial small subunit ribosomal RNA
Source: RNAcentral